CCCUUAGAUGUUCUGGGCCGCACGCGCGCUACACUGACGAAGUCAGCGAGCAUGUCCUACGCCGACAGGUGCGGGGAAUCUUGUCAAACUUCGUCGUGAUGGGGAUUGAUUUUUGAAAUUCUCGAUCAUAAACGAGGAAUUCCUAGUAAGCGCAAGUCAGCAGCUUGCGUUGAUUACGUCCCUGCCCUUUGUACACACCGCCCGUCGCUACUACCGAUUGAAUGGUUUAGUGAGAUCUUCGGAUUGGCGCCACUGCAGCUCAGCAAUGGGCUUGGUGGAUGCCGAAAAGUUGAUCAAACUUGAUCAUUUAGAGGAAGUAAAAGUCGUAACA
RNAcentral lists this ribosomal RNA (331 nucleotides) under uncultured eukaryote. Its description in RNAcentral is "partial 18S ribosomal RNA". It matches the Rfam family "Eukaryotic small subunit ribosomal RNA", at positions 1470 to 1796 of the family's 1831-position model. The record is from RNAcentral.